GGGGAUUUAGCUCAGUGGUAGAGUGCUUGCCUAGCAACCGCAAGGCCCUGGGUUCAGUCCCCA
Molecule: non-coding RNA, 63 nt
Organism: Rattus norvegicus (Norway rat)
Lineage: Eukaryota; Metazoa; Chordata; Mammalia; Rodentia; Muridae
Source: Rfam